UACGGGGGGGGCAAGCGUUGUUCGGAAUUACUGGGCGUAAAGGGCUCGUAGGCGGCCAACUAAGUCAGACGUGAAAUCCCUCGGCUUAACCGGGGAACUGCGUCUGAUACUGGAUGGCUAGAGUUUGGGAGAGGGAUGCGGAACUCCAGGUGUAGCGGUGAAAUGCGUAGAUAUCUGGAGGAACACCGGUGGCGAAGGCGGCAUCCUGGACCAACACUGACGCUGAGGAGCGAAAGCCAGGGGAGCAAACGGG
Molecule: ribosomal RNA, 253 nt
Filed under: uncultured bacterium
Lineage: Bacteria
Description: partial 16S ribosomal RNA
Rfam family: Bacterial small subunit ribosomal RNA
Source: RNAcentral